This 465-nucleotide ribosomal RNA is filed under the name uncultured bacterium. Its description in RNAcentral is "partial 16S ribosomal RNA". It matches the Rfam family "Bacterial small subunit ribosomal RNA", at positions 338 to 795 of the family's 1533-position model. The record is from RNAcentral.
CCUACGGGAGACAGCAGUAGGGAAUCUUCCACAAUGGGCGAAAGCCUGAUGGAGCAACGCCGCGUGGGUGAAGAAGGUCUUCGGAUCGUAAAACCCUGUUGUUAGAGAAGAAAGUGCGUGAGAGUAACUGUUCACGUUUCGACGGUAUCUAACCAGAAAGCCACGGCUAACUACGUGCCAGCAGCCGCGGUAAUACGUAGGUGGCAAGCGUUAUCCGGAUUUAUUGGGCGUAAAGGGAACGCAGGCGGUCUUUUAAGUCUGAUGUGAAAGCCUUCGGCUUAACCGGAGUAGUGCAUUGGAAACUGGGAGACUUGAGUGCAGAAGAGGAGAGUGGAACUCCAUGUGUAGCGGUGAAAUGCGUAGAUAUAUGGAAGAACACCAGUGGCGAAAGCGGCUCUCUGGACUGCAACUGACGUUGAGGCCCGAAAGCGUGGGGAGCAAACAGGAUUAGAUACCCGAGUAGUC